CAAAUCUAUAGAAAACGCAGACGAAUGGCAUAAAAAUGAUACAAAUGAACAUGCUGUAAAUGAGAAUAUUGAUAUGAGGUUUAUAGAAGAAGGUAAUAAUAAUGUAAACGCAAAAAAUGGCAAUGUUGAACAUACUAAAAAAAACGACUCUAAUAAAAAUGUAAAUGUAAAUACUAACAGUAAUAAUAAUAAUAAUAAUAACAAAACAGUAAAAGCAAAUACUGCUACAUCUAAUAUGAACAUUUACGCCAAUACGAAGGAUGGUGCACAAAAAAAAACAGUGUUUUUGGUAAACGAAAGUGAAAAAUAUCGUACUAAAAAGGUUUAUAAUGAGUGGAAAUAUGAUCUUGACGGUAUUAAAACUCAAAAUUUGGCUUUUCCGAACACUUACUUACAAUUAUGUAUACACGAUUUAAUAUAUAUGCCAGAUAAUACAAAUGAGGAAGAACUAGAAAAAAUACUAAUAAAUCUUGUUUCUCAUGAAGUACCUUUAUUAUAUGAGAAAAUAACAAACAGAGAUUAUGCAAAUGAUGAUGAUUUUUGUUUUGAUGUUAAUGUGACAUUUGCUUAUUAUAAAGAUAUAAUUACAGGAGGAAAUAUAGUAUUAUACAAUAAUAUAAUAACAGUGGAAAAUAAUAUAAAAAAAAUAUUUACAAAGUAUGACAAUAACCAUGAACGUAGACAUUGGUGGGAAAGACGCGGAAAUUAUAUAUGGGACGCAGUUAUUGCCGCAAUUAAAAAAAUUGAUAAUGGUAGAAUAAUUUGUGAUAGAUACAAAAAUUUUGAAAAUUUGCCACAAUAUGAGCGAUUGCUUAUAGAAUUUGCCAUACAAGUUAAUAAAGAACGAACUAUUAACAGAAAUUUAUUAUUAAAUGCAUGUGCAAUAGGUAAGAGUUUAUUUUCAAAUAAAAAUACAUGCAUUAAUGAAACACUAUGCAAACAAGAAUAUGAAAAAUAUAAAACAUGGGUUAUAAAAACUAUGAAAAUUUUUGAUUUGUUUACAACUAAGCUCCGCACCGUUCAAACUAAUAGUCAAUAUAUUAAAAAACCAUAUGAUGAAAUUCUUAUUGAUCAGGUUGAACAGCUUUAUAAAGAUCUAAGUGAAACAAAUUUGGAUACAUAUUUAAAUUUAUAUGAUGAAACGUGUACAAAAUUAUGUAUUCCAUUUAUUCGUGAGUAUGCAAAUAUUCAGUGUAUGGUAGGUAAACCACAUCUAAAACAAUCAGAAAAGUAUGAUUUAGCAUUAUAUAAAGAUUUAGUCAGUUUGUCAAAUGAAAAACAUACGCAAAAUAAUAAGGAUAAAAAAACAAAUGAAGAGGCUCCUACAUCAGAAACGGAUAAAAACACAAAUGAGACAACUAAUAAUGUAAAGGUAGAAAAUACAUCUACACAAACUGUAAAUAAUUUAACAAGUAGCAGAUCAGAAGUUGAUAAAAAAUUUGAUGAUUUAUUGAAAUUACAUGACCUCAAUAUUACAGAUCUCUAUUCAAUGAGUACAAAUAUAGAGGACCAUACUGAUCAUGAAACACAUGAAGAUACGGAUCACGAAGUGGCGAAUAACUCUCAUAAUGAAACAAAAGAAGUACCACAUGAUUCUGUUGAUACUGAUAAUGUUACUAUUAACAGUGUUCAUACAAAUAGUGUUGAUACGAAUAAGGCUAUUAAUAAGAGUAAUAUAAACAUAACUAAUGCUAAUGAUGCAGCUAAAAUAGCGAUUAAAGCUGCUGAAGAUGCGUUACGAGCAGCAAAAUAUGCACACGAAUCAGCAAAUAGUGCAUUACAUUCAGCCGAUGAUGCCAAAGCAUUAGUAAAGAGUGUGAAUACAUCCGUUGAAGAAGCACAAAAUAUUACAGAAAAAAGUAUAAAACAAAUAAAAAACGUAUUAGGUAAUAUAAAUACACAAAAUAGUGUAAAUGAUGUUAACGAAAAUGUUGAAAAAAAUGUUCAUUUGGCAAUGGAUGUAGCUAAAAAAGCAGAAGAAGCUCUUGUAGCAAACGAUAAAGAAUCAUUAGUUAAAGCAGAAAUAGAAGCUGAGAAAGUUGUACAAGAUUUAACUGCUAUAACUGAAAAAGCUGUUGACACAGCAAAAAAUUUAAUAACAAAGUCUAACCAAACAGACGAUUCUAGUAAACUUGACAUUGCUAUUGAAGCAUUAAAUUCUUCAAAUAAAGCCAAUAAAGCAUUAGGAAUAGCAAAAGAAGCGUUAAGCAGUAUACAAAGCAGCUUAUUAAAUCAAUCUACUAAUUUUAGUGACACUCAAGAUGAAACAUUAAGUGAUACACAUGAUUAUAAAUUGAGUGAGUUUGGAAAUACUAACGAUACGUUUAAAACUGAUAAUCUUAGCGAUCAUAGUGAUAAUAGCGAUUAUAGUGAUAAUAGAGAUCAUAGAGAUCAUAGUAAUAAUAGAGAUCAUAGUGAUAAUAGCGAUCAUAGCGAUUAUAGUAAUAAUAGCGAUCAUAGUAAUAAUAGAGAUCAUAGUGAUAAUAGUGAUACAAAUAAUUUAUCAACUGAUAAAUUAAGAAAUGUUAAUACACAUAAUAGCAUUUUGAAUAAUUCUAAUCAAAGAGAUAAAGAAAUUGAUUAUAUGAAAUAUAAUAAUAAUAUAAAUAAUAAUAAUAAUAAUCAACAAAAUACAGAAUAUAAAAAUAUGGAAAUGUUUGGUAACUCACAUAAGCCAGAUGAUUAUAAUAUUGAAUUUUAUGAUCGUCCAUAUGAAGACAAUAAUAAUGAAAAUAACAAUUAUGAUGAUAAUAACAGUAAAAUAAACCCCCCCUCACGCACAAAUGUAUUUAAAAACGCUAUUGAAGCUAAAAGAAAUAUAAACAAAAUGUCAAAAGAAAACCCAUGUAGUAAUAUUAAAUCAUUAAAUUAUUGUAAAACAUUAAACGACAGAUUUAAUAAUGACACAUGUGAUUAUGAGGAUGCAUUAAAUUUAUGCUGUGCUAUUUCAGAUUACUGUAUGCAGUUUUUUGAAAGCAAUUCAAAUGAAUAUAAAGAAUGUAUAAAUGAUGAAUUUUAUUCUCCUGUAUAUAAAUGCUUUAAGAAAAAACGAUCCUCAAGUAUGUUACAUUAUAUCAUAAAUAAUAAAAUAAAAUACAUAUAGAAUUGUGUAGUACUAUAUAAUGUAGUUUAAUAUUGUGUAGUGUAAUAUUGUGUAGUGUAAUAUAGUGUAGUGUAAUAUAGUGUAGUGUACUAUAGUGUAGUGUGUUAUAGUGCAACGUGUACCCACAAAAACAACAAAUUUAUGUAUAAUAAAAUAAACCACGUAGCAUUAUUAAAAAUAAUA
This 3286-nucleotide long non-coding RNA is filed under the name Piliocolobus tephrosceles (Ugandan red Colobus). RNAcentral describes it as "lncRNA (ENSPTEG00000023238.1)". Lineage: Eukaryota; Metazoa; Chordata; Mammalia; Primates; Cercopithecidae. The record is from RNAcentral.